Molecule: long non-coding RNA, 4250 nt
Filed under: Nicotiana tabacum (common tobacco)
Lineage: Eukaryota; Viridiplantae; Streptophyta; Magnoliopsida; Solanales; Solanaceae
Description: long non-coding RNA (NTAB_LNC007592)
Source: RNAcentral
AAAUCCAUGGAAGAUGUUUCCAUGUAAAAUGAGUGGUUUUAUCACUUAUUUUCUCUUGUUUGGUUGGUGAGUGAAAAAACUUUUCCGGAAAGUAUUUUUUACAUGAGCAUUUAUACAAUAUUCCCUAAAGAUCCGGAUGUCACUGAGUACAUGAGUAUUUAUAAAAUAAUAUGGUCCGAAAUACUGAAACACCAUAUAGGAAAGUAGAACAAUAUAUGUAAAUAAAACUAACAGAUAAAGAAGGAGAGUCAAGGUCUGUGGACGUCAGAGCAGCUACCUCGAAAAUCUUUGAACUGAUAAAGCUCCGAAAACCAGCAAACCACUGUAUCCGGAAGUACCUGAAUCUGCGCCCGAAGUGCAGGGUGUGUACAACCAACCCAGUAAGUAACAAGUCUAACCUUUGAGCUGAAAGCAGUGACGAGCCCAACAGGUACAGUGCAAAUAUAGAAAUAAAAGUACAAAAAUAUAUACAUGCUUUCAAGUUCAACAGUUAAAGCUCAAACAGGUAAAAUAUGCCAAGUGUAACUGAAAUGAGGAAUGAUACGUCUCGAUAUUUACAUUUCAAUUAUGUAUGCCAACUGUAAUGCAAAACACUGAUGAAAUCAUACGGAUACUCUCAGAGUAUCAAAUCACUCAGUCCUUACAUUCACUCAAUCCUCACAGUCAGUCAUUCCUCACAAUCACUUAGUCCUCAUAGCCACUCAAUCCUACCAAUAGCUCGGCACUCGCACUCAACACUCGCACUCGCACUCACACUUAGUAGGUCAUGCACUCACUGUUGAUAAGUCAGACUCCGGAGGGGCGGAUACAGCCCAAGCACUAUAAUAAGUCAAUCAUGGCAUGAACUAAUAAAGCAUAUUGUGGCAUGCAGCCCGAUCCCAUAAAUAUCCUCACAAUCAGUCCCUCGGCCUCACUUAGUCAUCAGUCUCUACAGUCUCUCGAGCUCACAAGUCUUAUGAUAUUCAGCCCAAACAAUGAUGAUUUGAUGCAUCAAUAAAUGGCAACAGAGACUGAGAUAUGAUAUGCAAAUAAUAGCUGUGACUGAGUACAUGAUUGCAAAUUAAGCAAGUAAUUUAACAGCAACACGACCUCUACGGGUCCCAACAAUACCAACAUAUGGCCUAAGCAUAAUUUCUAACAAGAAUCACAUCUCAAUUUCUUUAACACAUGGGAAAUACGUGGAAAGUGACAAGUUAUAUGACUACACAGUUCCACGGAGUCAACCGAGUCACAAUUCUUACGGUGUACGCCUACAUGCCUGUCACCUAGCAUGUGCGUCACCUCAAUACCAAUCACAUAACACCUAAUUCGGGGAUUUAUACCCUCAAAACCAUGUUUAGAAGUGUUACUUACCUCAAGCCGUGCAAAUCUCUACUCCAAUAAUCUCUUGCCUUAUGAAUCGGCCUCGGAAUGACUCGAAUCUGGCUACAAAAAACACGAUACAAUCAACACAAGCCAUAGGAAUCAUUUCAAUAUGAAAAAACUAAGUUGUUAAGCAAAAGUCAAAAAGUCAACUCAAAAAAAUAACUGCGGACCCACAUCUCGAAAGCUUAUAAAAGUUUCAAAAUCCGAACACCCAUUCAACCACGAGUCCAACCAUACCAAAUUUAUCAAAUUCCGAUACAAAAUCGUCACUCAAAUGCCCAAAUUUUAUUUUUUAAUCUCUAGCCUAAAACUCCCAAAAUUUCACCUCGCAAAUACAUAAACUAGGUGAAAAAUUCAAUAGGUAAUUAAUAUUAUUGCAUACAAAUGAUCAAGAGUGACUUACCUCGAGAAACCCCUCGAAAUCCCUCUCAAAAGCGCCUUAAUUCGAGUUUGCAAAGUCCAAAAAUGAUAAAACCUCGGAACCCUAUGUUUAUAUUCUGCCCAGUGCUUUUCGCACCUGGGACCAACUUGACCAUAUUUGCGGUUCUCCUGGCAACCUCCUGUGCUCACACCUGCAGACAAGGUUCCGCAUCUGCGGAGCCGCACCGACAACCAACAUUUUCACGACUCUAUUUUUCUUGAAGAAUUUAAUUAUUCUUCUAAAAAUUCACACAAACCCAAAGAAACUAAUGUGCUGCUUUAUAUUUUUACGCAAAAGUAAUGUUUAAAUUUGUGCUCCAUAACUAAAAAGAAAAUACUCUAUUUUUAGUUGAAAAAGAAAGUACUCUUUCUACAACAUGAAAAUAAAGUACUCAUUUUAUUAAAAGAAAAGAAAAUACUUUUUCUACACCAUGAAAAGAAAAUAUUCAUUUUGUUGAAUUGAAAAAAAAAACUUUUUCUACAUCAUGAAAAUAAUAUUUUUUUGUUGAAAUGAAAGAAAAACUUUUUCUAUGAAAAAAGAAAGUAUAUGUUUUUGUUGAAAUGAAAAAAAUACUUUUUUAUAUCAUGUAAAAAAAAUAGUCAUUUGUUGAAAUACAAAAAUGAAAUAUAUCUAUAACAUUAAAAAAAGUACUAUUAAUAAUAUUUUUAUUUGGGGCGGGGGUGGGGGUGAGAGGAUGGGUGGGUAGGCGGAGGUGGGGCGGGGGUUAGGUUGGGGUUGUGUGGGUUGAUGGGGAUAGGGAAUAGGGUGAAGAAAGUUAAAAAGGAGUUUUAGAAAAUAUUUUUCCUUCUCUUGAUAGGGAAAAUAUUUUUCUCCAAUUGGAUGAAAAUGAGUUCAUGAGAAAAAUAUUUUUCAAAAUAUUUAAGCCAACCAAACAUUCCGGAAAAUAUUUUCCGGAAAAUAUUUUUUCCUUCGUAGCAAACACACCCUUAGUCUUUCCAUACUUGUUCUUCUACAUUUGGAGGCCGGUUUACAAAGUAACAUAUAAGAAAAUGAGAAGAGCAUUCUGUUAGAGCUGAAGCAACUAUGGGGAAAUCAGUUAGGAUUCGAGUCGUUGAAUUCCUAUACCUCAUAUUGCAAUUGAUUUGUGUAGAAUGCAGAAAAGGUUCUGACAAGCAUCCAUCUCGGAGAGAAACAACUUACUGGAAUAAUUCCACCAAUUAUAUAUGGACUCAAAAAGCCUAGAAGCUAUGUUGCUCGAACUCUCCAAAAGUGCUGCCCCACCCGUGUCGGAUCCUUCAAAAAUGCACUAAAUUUGAAGGAUCCGACACGCACCCAAUAAUAUUUUUGAAGAGUCCGAGUAACAUAGCCUAGAAGUGAUAACAAAUUUUCUGGGGACCGGGUUUACCCACUAUAGCUGGAAUUUUAAGAUUAAGAACAUUAGGUCUUUGGUUGAAUUAUUAGGUGAGUACAUGGAAAAUCAAAGCUUAGACAAGUGGCUUCAUCACAAGAGAUCAAUAAGUGAAAAAGCUAUUACUGCUUCAGCACAUUCUGUCUUGGAAUGGAAUACUAGACUGCAAAAUUGCAGUUGGAGCUCUAUGAUACAUGCAUCACGAGUGCUCCCCACCAAUCAUUCAUCGCGACAUUAAGUGUAGCAAUAUCCUUUUAGACCAUGAAUUGAAUGCCAAAAUUGCAGAUUUUGGACUGGCUAAGGUUUUGGCUAAGUGGGGAGAGACGGAGACUGCUUCUGCUAUCGCUGGCACGUUUUGUAACCUUGCACCAGGUAUAUCUCAUUAUUAGAAUACGAGUUAUGUUUCUUAUUCUUGAAAUUUAAGAGUUUGCAUCUACGUCAAAACUGAAUGUCAAGAGUGAUGUCUACAGCUUUGGUGUGGUAUUAGUGAAGGAAGUUUUGCAAAUUCUAUAACUGGGCAUUUGGACAUAAAAAUUGUAAAAUUCCAAAAAAAGAGAAAAAGAAUUUCAAGGGAAAAUGGUAUUUGAAAAUUAGAGUUGUGUUCGGACAUGAAUAUAAUUUUGGGUUGUUUUUAAAUUUUUGUGAGUGAUCUGAUUGAACAUUUUGAAAAACAGCUUUUUGGAGUUUUUUAAAUUCUUGAAAAAUUCUAAAAUUCAUUUUCAAGAGAAAAUUGAAAAUUUUAUGGCCAAACACUAAUUUCGAAAAAAGUAAAACUUUUUCAAAAAAAAGUGAAAAAUUUACAAGAAUAAUUUACUAACUAAUUUACAAGAAUUCAACUAUUUUUUUCUAACAUUCAAAUAAUGAAAAUAUACCAAAAAUAUAUAACUAACCUUGUUAUCGGAGAACACUGCUGCUGGAAGGGAGAGGAAGAGAAGACCCUAAGCUCUCUCGCUCAACCCGAAGCUUCGCCGCCGGAAGAAAAAAGAAGUUAAGAUUCCGCCGUCGUCGUUGGAGAGGAUGAGAGGGAAAAAUACCGUGAAGAGGGGAGGUGGUGAAAGUGUUCCGCCAUGGAGACAGGAAGGAGGUGGGAGUGUU